This is a long non-coding RNA of Calypte anna (Anna's hummingbird), 245 nucleotides long. RefSeq lists it as uncharacterized. NCBI's taxonomy places the organism in Eukaryota, Metazoa, Chordata, Aves, Apodiformes, Trochilidae. The record is from RefSeq and is a predicted model, not a curated record. The transcript is spliced from 4 exons.
UCCAGCAGGAUGCAGCCAGCCCAAGGAGGUGCCCAAUGCCCACAUCCAGGGCUCCACACAACCAGCCUGGACCCCCCCCAUGCUCCAAUGCAUCCGAGACCCAAGUUUUCCACCCCAAAACCCCACCCAGGAGCACCCGGAGACACCAAGUGCUGAGACGACCCAAAAAGACUCUUCUAACAGCUCUUCUAAACAAGACCUCUCUGAGAAAAGAGUGAAACCCUGAGAAGAAUGAGAACACACAC